This 455-nucleotide long non-coding RNA is filed under the name Daucus carota (carrot). RNAcentral's name for it is "long non-coding RNA (DCAR_LNC003115)". The record is from RNAcentral. Lineage: Eukaryota; Viridiplantae; Streptophyta; Magnoliopsida; Apiales; Apiaceae.
CUCCAGCUCUGAAGACUGUAAUACACAGAGGUGAACUCCUUCGGCCCUGUCACACAGAAAAAUAAAUAAUACAAAUUCAGCACGCAAUUCAAAUCGAUUCAACAAACUACUGCAAUUUAGGUAUUCAACAGUCUAAAUGUCACACAGAAAAAUAAAUAAUACAAAUUCAGCACGCAAUUCAAAUCGAUUCAACAAACUACUGCAAUUUAGGUAUUCAACAGUCUAAAUGUCACACAGAAAAAUAAAUAAUACAAAUUCAGCACGCAAUUCAAAUCGAUUCAACAAACUACUGCAAUUUAGGUAUUCAACAGUCUAAAUUUACUACAGGACCUGUCUAAAUUAUCUUAUGGCCUAAUUUACCGCAAUAAAACACAACAAUACGUUUAACCGAGAAUCAUAAAACUAAAAGAAACAAAAAUUGAUCAUCACAAGAGUAUGAAAUACUGAAAUAUACC